UGGGAGAAGCUUAGAUGUUCUUGGAACUCUGUCUUAUAAAUCAGCCAUUUCCAGCAUGGAUGCUGGAAAAGAUGCAACGUCGCCAUGGAUGGCGACUUUGCAUCGGUGGCGUACGCAUAAACCAGCUAACUCAGAGUUCCUAGAACAUCUUAGCUCCGGA
This 160-nucleotide non-coding RNA is filed under the name pig gut metagenome. The record is from RNAcentral.